RNAcentral lists this ribosomal RNA (253 nucleotides) under uncultured bacterium. RNAcentral's name for it is "partial 16S ribosomal RNA". It matches the Rfam family "Bacterial small subunit ribosomal RNA", at positions 524 to 776 of the family's 1533-position model. The record is from RNAcentral.
UACGUAGGGUGCGAGCGUUGUCCGGAAUUAUUGGGCGUAAAGGGCUCGUAGGCGGUCUGUUGAGUCAGGGGUGAAAACUCGGGGCUUAACCCCGAGCCUGCUUCUGAUACGGGCAGACUAGAGGUAUGCAGGGGAGAACGGAAUUCCUGGUGUAGCGGUGAAAUGCGCAGAUAUCAGGAGGAACACCGGUGGCGAAGGCGGUUCUCUGGGCCGCUACUGACGCUGAGAAGCGAAAGCAUGGGGAGCGAACAGG